RNAcentral lists this ribosomal RNA (464 nucleotides) under uncultured bacterium. RNAcentral describes it as "partial 16S ribosomal RNA". It matches the Rfam family "Bacterial small subunit ribosomal RNA", at positions 28 to 506 of the family's 1533-position model. The record is from RNAcentral.
GACGAACGCUGGCGGCGUGCUUAACACAUGCAAGUCGAACGGAAAGGCCCUGCUUGUAGGGUAUUCGCGUGGCGAAAGGGUGUGUAACACACGGGUGUACCCCCCCCUUCUCUGGGAUAAGACUUGGAAACAGGGGGUAUUAUAGGAGAGGAGCCCUCCUUCGUGUGAUUGUUGGUUAGUUUUUUUGGUUGGGGAUGGGUGCGCGGCCUAUCAGCUUGUUGGUGGGGUAGUGGCCUACCAAGGCGGCGACGGGUAGCCGGCCUGAGAGGGUGGACGGCCACAUUGGGACUGGGAUACGGCCCAGACUCCUACGGGAGGCAGCAGUGGGGAAUAUUGCACAAUGGGCGCAAGCCUGAUGCAGCGACGCCGCGUGGGGGAUGACGGCCUUCGGGUUGUAAACUCCUUUCGCUAGGGACGAAGCUUUUGGGGACGUAACCUAGAAAAAAGGCACCGGCAAAUUACUU